GAUGUCUCCCGUGCUGACUUCUAGCCCUACCUCUCUAUGAUCAUUGAGUCCUAUUCUUGCUUCGAGGAUGUUCGCAAUCACAGUUCCAAGAAGAUCACCGACCUCCUCCUCUCGAUGGUGCCACAUCCUUCCACUCCUCCUUUGACUACUUUCGCUCCUUGAUGGCCUCGACGACUCCACGAUCAAGAUGCUCCCUCUCCCCCCUACUCCAAGUCCAAGGCCAAGCAAAUAGCCACCACCAAUCGAGACUAUGCUGUUUGUCUCUGCACGCUGCCCCUCUCUUCCCAUGCCUUUCACAUUGACUGUAUCUAUGUCGGACUCUGAUUCUAUGGUUGAAUUUUACAUAUUUUGCAUGGAGAUUUUAAAAUAAUUUUGAAUACAAACAGUGAAAGACAAGAUUAAAUCAGAUUUAAUC
Molecule: long non-coding RNA, 415 nt
Filed under: Elaeis guineensis (African oil palm)
Lineage: Eukaryota; Viridiplantae; Streptophyta; Magnoliopsida; Arecales; Arecaceae
Description: long non-coding RNA (EGUI_LNC054417)
Source: RNAcentral